Molecule: long non-coding RNA, 830 nt
Filed under: Bemisia tabaci
Lineage: Eukaryota; Metazoa; Arthropoda; Insecta; Hemiptera; Aleyrodidae
Description: lncRNA ENSASIAIIG006272
Source: RNAcentral
GUUGUGUAUUUGGAGAGCUUAAAUUCCGAAUAUUUCGAGAAGUUGCAAGGACUGGAAUCUUCUUUGCAGUGUCUUGAAGAUGAGCUGAAGGCAGUUAGAACUUCAAACCACCAAUUGAAAGAUGAAAAUGAGCGAGUGGUCAAACAGUUGGAAACAGUUCAGGAUGAGAAAGAAAGUCUGAAAGUUGUGGUUUCCCGCAGUAGCUGUAAUCUGAAAAUGAUGAGCGAGAAGUUGACAGAAUUCAACAAACUUGAAGGUCAAAUUGAAGAACUAGAAUUGUCUCUAAAAAAAGGAAUGAGAACUUGGAGGAGCUCGAGAAAAAUUUGGCGGCGUUAACAACGCGUAAGAACUAUUACAAGCAAUGGGCAGCUGAUCUCCAAAAAGAACUUUCAACCCUAGAAUCAUCUAAAAGACAAAACGAAGAGCUGAAAAAGAAAUGCAGUGAUUUGGAAACUUUAAUCGGCCCGUUCCGUCAGCAUCUGGAAGAUUACGAACGAGAAAACAAAGUACUGGAAUCCACGAAUGAGGCCUAUCAAGAGGAGAAGAAGGCUUUACUGUUGAAAUUUGCAGAUCUCCUCGGUCACCAAAAUCCCAAACAGAAGAUAAAGUAUAUUAACAAAAUUAUAGAAGAAAAUAAUGAACUGCACAAGGAGAUUGAAAGAUUGAAAAAGCGGUUACGGAAGCUACAAAGUACGGAAAAGGCAAAUGUUGAAAACGGCCUAAACACUGUCAAAGUGGACGGAGGUGGACUCAACCCUGUCAAAGUAGACGGAUCUUCUAGUCCUCGCCCUGCCAAAUUAGAGAAGACUCCUCUGAGAGAACGAAAUUAA